CAGAUGGAUUCUGGCUCUCUCAUAAGAUGAAAAAGCUCUUUCACAGUUGAGGUCUUAUUAAGUUAAAAAUAUAUACCUUUUUACUAGGCUGUAACCAGUUAAUGUGACUCAGACAAAGAUGUAAUGUGAAGAGAGGCAUUACUUAGAGCUACCAUUUUUGCCUUACUGCAGAGGUUCCUCUUUUCCAGGCCUCACACGCGAGUUCCUAGAAGCCACAGCUGAAGCACAUUUAAGAAUUAGUCUAUGAGCUCAUUUGAUGAAGUUAAGGGGGAUCAGCUGGGGUUUGGGCUGAUUGGCUUCAGCAGUGCAGCACACAGAGGUUUGAACCACUUCUUUCUGAGCAGUUCUGGGCUGUGGCUCCUUCCCUAGGACUUGCCAGCACCAUCUCUUCAGCAAAGCAGGGAGCUCUGUGGAGGCCUGGUCUGAAGCACUGGUGUGGCAGAUGUAGCGUACCAACGCUUCCUAUUCCUGAGUCCCCUGCAAACUUGUUCACAUCUCCCAUGAGGGGCUAGUGAGGUGGCUUUGCAGCUGUAAACAUUGCAGUCCACAUGAAGAGAAAUCUAUUUGAAAGUGGCUGAAUAAAGUCAAGAAGUGGCAGCAAGUGUGCAAGGGAUGGAAAAGGGAGAACACUGGCCUGGAUAUAGAUGUUGAAGGAUGGUACAAGAGUUUUUUUUACUGCUGUGUGAUUUUGAUGUAGCUGUGGGUCAUGGCAUGCACAGUUAGUUAGGGUUCAUAAUGAGGGAUGUUAAGUACCAACAAAUAUGUAGGAGUCCUCUGUGAGGAAGCAUAUGCUGAGGCCUGAGGAUGUUCCUUAGAAAACCAUAAUGUCCCUACCUCAGGGAGAAGCAAAAUGAUGGGACCAGCUCCAGAAUGGUGGAAAUGGAGAGCUGGGAGUCUGUCACAGCCCUCCCCUGGGGGCCACAAGACCAGGAGUGUUCCCACGGGGUUGUGGAUCUUUCCUGGGAGGGAUGAAGAAAGACAAUAGUUUUUGAGCUGUCUGGAGCUUGAAAUCAGAUAGAUUUCUGCCUGGUUGGAACAGCCUGGGCAGAGGAAAGGGUUAAAAGGAGGACAGUGUGGACAAAACUGCAAAUAACCUAUAUCCUUUAAAUCCUUGUCAUGAAAAGUUUGGUACCCUUGCAUAGUUUAACAGUGAGCUCUACUUUGAUGUUUGAAAGUGCUAAUCUCCCUUUGGAAGUGCACAUCAGGCACUGUCAGACCUUCUCCCAGACACUUUUUAGAGGGAAACCAGCUCUUAUGACACUGGAACCGGCUGGUGAAAGGGAAGUAACGUUUAUUUCAAAGAACUGCAGCAUGUUGGCCACCUCAAAUUCUCACAGAUUUGACACCUUUUUAGGCAGAUUUAGCCCAAAGUAACUCAACCUGCUUUUCUAGUGACUGUUUGCAGCCCCAAGACGUAUUCUUCCACUUUGCCUUUCUGAAAAUUAGGCAAUCCAUUGAAUCCUUGGUGGCCAUGAAGACUUUUUUUCUUCUGUAUGACCUCCUUUACCAUGAAAAAUCACAAGACAAUUGUAAUUUGAGCUACAGGAAUAAAUUCAGAAUAGCUCUUUUGAAGUCAGCAAGCUACCUAAAUAUUGUCAAAAUGAGAAGGACCAAAAGAGGCUACCUCCAUCUUUUUAACCUUUUUUUCAUUGAUGAGACAUCUUGUUAAUUUGAGACCACUUUGGCCAACCCAAGUGCCAAAGGGUCAUGCAGUUCUUGGUAGCUUGACUGCAGGGGCACUUCAUGGGGAAUUAUGAGGAAAACCAUGUUUUUUCCCUUUUUUUGGACACCAGUGGCCAACACAACAAUGAGCAGACAUAGCAAGGAAUCUGUAUUUGGUCAAAGUUUUGGUGGUUCCCUUGCUGCAGGGGGAGUUGGCUGGGGAUCCACCAUCCCAACCACUGCUGCAAGCAACAAACCCAUCAGCACAGAGGUUCUCACGGCAAAGGAUGGAGCCAGGACGCUGUGCACCAUAAGCCUGGUGUCUAUGGGUGCGUGUGACAUGCUCAGUGUGCUCACAAUGCUUUAGCAAUGUCAUGAAACAAUUGGAAUCUGCUGACCUGAUGUGUCAGUGAUGUAAAAUCCAUGUUGCUAAAUGCUGCCUAAUAGCUGGGGUAAUAAAACCCGAAGCUCAGAUCACACGGGGAGUUCCCUGCUGUCUGGCGUCUCUUGAAGCCGGCAGUGCUUGGGAGUGGGCAAACCCAGGAGCUGGGCUGGCAUUUGGUUUCCUCUUAGAGCUGGUUGUUUCCUGCUGCUGCUUGAGCAGCAGACCUCUGACCAAUGUCUGCAGCUGUGUCCAUGUGCUUGGAGUCACGGUGGCCAGCCCAGACUUCUUUCUUCCGCUCCCUUAAAUCUGUGACUUUUCCUUGGCUGGGGGUUCCUGGGCUGUGAGACUCCACACACUUCUGUAAGGACAAAGAGCUGCUUCUGCAGUCACAUCUGGUCUCCAAAACCAGGGCUCCUUCGCAGUAACUCCUGCAUUGUUUCCCUGUCAGCUGUCAGGGACAGAGCUGGGAACAAUGGGUGCAAUGGAGCCGCAUUUCAGGAAAACAUAGAUCCUAUUUAUGUGGGCAAAACAUGCAGGGUUUCUUGCUGAAAACCUUAAAUGGUUGAAGAAGCUGCAACCUGAAUUCGAGUUACUUUAAGAGACUGUGGCAAUUUAAAAGGGAUUUCAAUCAA
Molecule: long non-coding RNA, 2679 nt
Organism: Neopsephotus bourkii (Bourke's parrot)
Lineage: Eukaryota; Metazoa; Chordata; Aves; Psittaciformes; Psittacidae
Exons: 5
Source: RefSeq, a predicted model, not a curated record